This 67-nucleotide transfer RNA is filed under the name Dixella aestivalis. Its description in RNAcentral is "tRNA-Phe". The record is from RNAcentral. Lineage: Eukaryota; Metazoa; Arthropoda; Insecta; Diptera; Dixidae.
AUUCAAAUAGCUUAUAUUUAGAGCGUGACAUUGAAGCUGUUAAUGAGAUUAUACAAAUCUUUGAAUA